GGGGAUGUGGCUCAGUGGUAGAGCGCUCACCUUGCAUGUGUGUGGCCCUAGGUUCCAUCCUCA
Molecule: transfer RNA, 63 nt
Filed under: Ictidomys tridecemlineatus (thirteen-lined ground squirrel)
Lineage: Eukaryota; Metazoa; Chordata; Mammalia; Rodentia; Sciuridae
Also listed under: 1 other name
Description: Spermophilus tridecemlineatus (thirteen-lined ground squirrel) tRNA
Rfam family: tRNA
About the family: Transfer RNA (tRNA) molecules are approximately 80 nucleotides in length. Their secondary structure includes four short double-helical elements and three loops (D, anti-codon, and T loops). Further hydrogen bonds mediate the characteristic L-shaped molecular structure. tRNAs have two regions of fundamental functional importance: the anti-codon, which is responsible for specific mRNA codon recognition, and the 3' end, to which the tRNAs corresponding amino acid is attached (by aminoacyl-tRNA synthetases). tRNAs cope with the degeneracy of the genetic code in two manners: having more than one tRNA (with a specific anti-codon) for a particular amino acid; and 'wobble' base-pairing, i.e. permitting non-standard base-pairing at the 3rd anti-codon position.
Source: Rfam by way of RNAcentral